This 472-nucleotide ribosomal RNA is filed under the name uncultured bacterium. RNAcentral describes it as "bacterial SSU rRNA". It matches the Rfam family "Bacterial small subunit ribosomal RNA", at positions 8 to 526 of the family's 1533-position model. The record is from RNAcentral.
AGAGUUUGAUCAUGGCUCAGAACGAACGCUGGCGGCAGGCUUAACACAUGCAAGUCGAACGCAUCCUUCGGGGUGAGUGGCAGACGGGUGAGUAACGCGUGGGAACGUGCCCUUCAGUUCGGGAUAACCCAGGGAAACUUGGGCUAAUAACGGAUACGUGCGAGAGCAGAAAGAUUUAGCGCUGAAGGAUCGGCCCGCGUCUGAUUAGCUAGUUGGUAGGGUAAUGGCCUACCAAGGCGACGAUCAGUAGCUGGUCUGAGAGGAUGAUCAGCCACAUUGGGACUGAGACACGGCCCAGACUCCUACGGGAGGCAGCAGUGGGGAAUAUUGGACAAUGGGCGCAAGCCUGAUCCAGCCAUGCCGCGUGAGUGAUGAAGGCCUUAGGGUUGUAAAGCUCUUUCGUCCGGGACGAUAAUGACGGUACCGGAAGAAGAAGCCCCGGCUAACUUCGUGCCAGCCGCCGCGGUAAUAC